AGCAGCCGCCGCGGGAACACGAAGGGUGCAAGCGUUAAUCGGAAUUACUGGGCGUAAAGCGUGCGUAGGCGGUGAGUUAAGUCUGCUGUGAAAUCCCCGGGCUCAACCUGGGAAUGGCAGUGGAUACUGGCUCGCUAGAGUGUGUCAGAGGAUGGUGGAAUUCCCGGUGUAGCGGUGAAAUGCGUAGAGAUCGGGAGGAACAUCAGUGGCGAAGGCGGCCAUCUGGGACAACACUGGCGCUGAGGCACGAAAGCGUGGGGAGCAAACAGGAUUAGAUACCCCGGUAGUCCCUGUCUCUUAUAC
RNAcentral lists this ribosomal RNA (303 nucleotides) under uncultured bacterium. RNAcentral describes it as "partial 16S ribosomal RNA". It matches the Rfam family "Bacterial small subunit ribosomal RNA", at positions 507 to 807 of the family's 1533-position model. The record is from RNAcentral.